CCCCUUUUCUUUUGCAGCGGGAGAAGGGUAAAAUCAUAUUUACGAAAAUACCCCGCUUUUUAAGUGCGUUUUCCCUUGCUCUCCCGCCGUCGGCAUUAUGGUUUGGCAGCAGAGGCGAAAUCAAAGUAAUGGCAGAUCAUAAUUCAUUGUCGAAGAUCAGUCACUGCGAGCUCCUUUACCGAUCAAGGUCAUGGAAAACACAAAGAGGAAAUGAUCUUUGGCGGAAUAGAGGACUAAGAUAAAUGGCUUGCAGGAGGAAUUGCCGCCAUUCAACACAAUGCCUAGACUGUGUCUGCUAUGUACGGCAGGAUCAGGGUAUAUCAGAUCGAAGGAGGCUCCGGCCAAGGCUAUGCCUAAGGAUCUUGUGGAAAUGUGUCGCGGUGUUCAGCAUCCAAUUUGUGGAUUCUUUUCUCAGAAGUUACCUUGCUUAAGUCAGUAGAGAUAAAUUGCCUGAUACUGGUUCUGUGUUUGAAGGGAAAGAGUACUCAAGUCAACUAAGACUUUAUCCUAAAAUUUUGGGAUAAGCGCAAACUACCUAGGCGGCGGAGUAAAGAGUAUUUCCUUUUUUUUUUCGUUGCCCAGUGGAGUUGUUAAAAUCAGGGAUCGACAGCUUCAAUUAGAUGCUGACACAGCCAUGGAUGAUGUAGAAUUUGUGCUACAAAAUUUCACUGAGAUGAAUAAACUUUGGGUUCAGAUGCAGUAUCAGGUUUGUCGUAUACCAGUGAGCCCUUGUUACUAUGUUUUUGACAUGCAUAGCAAGACGGUACUUGCAUGCCAUACAGGUAAACAAAUCAUGAAAGCAUAAUUUUUGGCCAGGCCGGUGAUUUGGUGCUUCUGAUCAUUUAUACUCUUUGGUGAUCCUCAGUUGAGGUCUUCAAUUGGGCUUUCUGGUCUGCAGGGGCCUGGUCAGGUUAACUGUAAAGAUGAGAUUGCACAGUAUUAUUUGAUGGACUGCAUAAUUCAGGUUUUUCCAGAUGAGUACCACUUGCUGACUCUUGAUGCAUUAUUAGGGGCUUGCCCUCAGCUUCAGGCUAAUUAAUUGCUUAUAAAUACUACCAGGUUUUCCCAUGAGCUGUUUAUGGCUGCCAAUUUCAGCCACCCUCCCAUGUUGUAGCACAGCAAUGCUAUCUGCAUCACGAAUGGUGGACAAUCUGUGGGCUACCAUAACUGUUGUUC
Hevea brasiliensis (rubber tree) is the source of this 1176-nucleotide long non-coding RNA. RefSeq lists it as uncharacterized. Lineage: Eukaryota; Viridiplantae; Streptophyta; Magnoliopsida; Malpighiales; Euphorbiaceae. The record is from RefSeq and is a predicted model, not a curated record. The transcript is spliced from 6 exons.